UCUUUUAAAUGUCUGGCGUUAUCAACGACUUCUUGCGCCGCUGCCUCAAGAAGGUUGCCGGCAAAGUGCAGCCGCUGACCGUGGUGCAGGGAAACGAGGGAGGCGACAUGGACAGCAUUGUCGGCUGCAUUUACCUUGCCAUGCUUUUCGAUAAGCAGCCCAAAUUCGGUUUUGAGAACCCUGUGCCGGCGCUGAACUUUCCACAGGAAGAUUUCGGCCUGCGCAACGAUGUGGCGAAUCUCUUCAAAGAGCUCGGGGUCGAUGCAUCGCUCUUGAUGUCGGUACAGAGAGGGCAGAUCGCGCAUAACUUUGUCGAUAUCGCUGCUCUCAACGCUUCGGUUGUUCUUUACGACCACAAUAAGCUGAGGGAAAACCAAAGCGACUUCGCCUCUAGAGUUGUUGGAGUAGUGGACCACCACUUUGACGAGAAGCAGUACCUCGAAACCACAUCCAAGCUAAGACUUCUGCGAACUGUCGGAUCUGCUUGCACACUCGUUACGGAGCUCUACCGCGAAUGUGGCGAGGAUGUCGUGUGUCCCACGCUGCUAACGGCUCCGAUUGUUCUGGAUACAGUGAACUUUGAGGCGGCACAAAAGAAGGUGACACCUGAGGACAUCGCUGCAUACGAGUGGUUGCAUGCAAAGGAGGUCGCUGACACUGCUGCCGCUGCAGCUCUCUUUGAGAAGCUUUCGAAGUGGAAGGAUGACGUGCUGACACUCAGCGUUCCAGAAAUCUUGAGGCGAGAUUACAAACAGUUCAGCUUCAAAGCCAGAACGCAGAAGGGCGUUAUGUCCACGGGCACCAGUAGCGUGCCGUGUGCGUGCAAGCAGCUAGAAGCUCACUUUUCUGUUGAUUUAAUUGUGGCGGAGGCUGCCAAGUACGUGGAGCAGCAUCAGCUGGAUGUGCUCAUCCUUGCAUUUGCCGGGAAAGUCGGCGGCAAGCACACUCGCGAGGUCGCCUUCUGUGCAAAGACUGAUGUGAUCUCGUUUUUUGCUCCUUUUGUAGCGGAGGCUCCGGAUGGCGUGUCAUUCACCAUGAUCACAAAGUGUCAGACGGUGGACGGAUCAUACGAGUACGCCUCGUACUCGCUCAGCGACCCUUCUGUUUCUCGCAAGAAGCUGGUUCCAGCGCUGUCCGAAUUCCUUGCCGAGGGGACGCGGAGUCUUUUGUGAGUAACCGCGUUUUUUUUUGUGAACAGUAGCUUAUUCUGAUUGAGGGUGGGGAAAAACAAACACAACAUAUGUCACCGAGCCCCAUAGAGGAGACCGUGCUGGGAAGGUGCGACGGGCGCAACGGCACUAUUUCCGCAACAAUUGUGCAAACUCGAAAAAGUAAAUGCUCCCGUUGUUUCUCAAGUGCUUCUUGGGCGGCCACAAUAGCCGUCGCACGCGUCGAAGAGGCUUAUGACAUUGCCGCCUCUCUCCACCAGCUCUUCUGAGUCCAUCAUCGUCAUGCCUGAAUCUAGAUUUUGCUGUGAAAGCAGCCAUACCAGCACGUGGGCUGAAUAAAGGUCACGGGAAAAGGUGUUCUUCCCUCGCAUGCAGGCGCAUCUGGUCUUCUCUCUCUCCUUUGCCUACUUUUGUCAUCUCGCAACCAACAAAAAAUCAACCUCGACGUCACACGCCAUAG
This 1629-nucleotide unclassified non-coding RNA is filed under the name Leishmania donovani. RNAcentral describes it as "gene:LdHU3.01.0340(CDS-product:acidocalcisomal_ex opolyphosphatase_putative)". The record is from RNAcentral. Lineage: Eukaryota; Euglenozoa; Kinetoplastea; Trypanosomatida; Trypanosomatidae.